RNAcentral lists this transfer RNA (75 nucleotides) under Acidimicrobiia bacterium. Its description in RNAcentral is "tRNA-Thr". It matches the Rfam family "tRNA". Rfam says of the family: Transfer RNA (tRNA) molecules are approximately 80 nucleotides in length. Their secondary structure includes four short double-helical elements and three loops (D, anti-codon, and T loops). The record is from RNAcentral. Lineage: Bacteria; Bacillati; Actinomycetota; Acidimicrobiia. RNAcentral also lists the same sequence under 1 other name.
GCUGGCGUAGCUCAGUGGUAGAGCAGCUGCCUUGUAAGCAGCAGGUCGUGGGUUCGAUCCCCACCGCCAGCUCCA